AACGAACGCUGGCGGCGUGCCUAACACAUGCAAGUCGAACGAGAAAGGGGCUUCGGCUCCGAGUAAAGUGGCGCACGGGUGAGUAACACGUGGGUAACCUGCCUCUAAGAUUGGGAUAACUCGUCGAAAGAUGAGCUAAUACCGAAUAAGACCACAGUUCCCGCGGGAACAGGGGUCAAAGGUAGCCUCUGCUUGCAAGCUAUCACUUAGAGAUGGGCCUGCGCACCAUUAGCUAGUUGGUAGGGUAACGGCCUACCAAGGCAAAGAUGGUUAGCUGGUCUGCGAGGAUGAUCAGCCAACCUGGGACUGAGACACGGUCCAGACUCCUACGGGAGGCAGCAGUGGGGAAUAUUGCGCAAUGGGCGAAAGCUUGACGCAGCAACGCCGCGUGAGUGAUGAAGGCCUUCGGGUCGUAAAGCUCUGUCGGGAGGAACGAAUGCUCCUGAGGUUAACAGCCUCGGGAGGUGACGGUACCUUCAAAGGAAGCACCGGCUAACUCUGUG
Molecule: ribosomal RNA, 503 nt
Filed under: uncultured bacterium
Lineage: Bacteria
Description: partial 16S ribosomal RNA
Rfam family: Bacterial small subunit ribosomal RNA
Source: RNAcentral